CGAAGUUUUUCGGAACUUAGUGGCGGACGGGUGAGUAACGCGUGAGAAUCUGCCUUAAGGAUUGGGACAACAGUGGGAAACCGCUGCUAAUACCAAAUAUGCCUUUUAGUGAAACGGGUAAAACCGCCUUAAGAUGAGCUCGCGUCUGAUUAGCUAGUUGGUGUGGUAAGAGCGCACCAAGGCAACGAUCAGUAGCUGGUCUGAGAGGACGACCAGCCACACUGGGACUGAGACACGGCCCAGACUCCUACGGGAGGCAGCAGUGAGGAAUUUUCCGCAAUGGGCGAAAGCCUGACGGAGCAAUACCGCGUGAGGGAGGAAGGUUCUUGGAUUGUAAACCUCUUUUCUCAGAGAAGAAUAAUGACGGUAUCUGAGGAAUAAGCAUCGGCUAACUCCGUGCCAGCAGCCGCGGUAAUACGGAGGAUGCAAGCGUUAUCCGGAAUGAUUGGGCGUAAAGGGUCUGUAGGUGGUUGUUCAAGUCUGCUGUUAAAGCGUCUGGCUUAACCAGAUAAAGGCGGUGGAAACUGAACGACUAGAGUGCGGUAGGGGUAGAGGGAAUUCCCAGUGUAGCGGUGAAAUGCGUAGAUCUUGGGAAGAACACCUGUGGCGAAAGCGCUCUACUAGACCGCGACUGACACUGAUGGACGAAAGCUAGGGGAGCGAAUGGGAUUAGAUACCCCAGUAGUCCUAGC
This 692-nucleotide ribosomal RNA is filed under the name uncultured cyanobacterium. RNAcentral describes it as "bacterial SSU rRNA". It matches the Rfam family "Bacterial small subunit ribosomal RNA", at positions 75 to 800 of the family's 1533-position model. Lineage: Bacteria; Bacillati; Cyanobacteriota. The record is from RNAcentral.